CCUACGGGAGGCAGCAGUGAGGAAUAUUGGUCAAUGGACGAGAGUCUGAACCAGCCAAGUCGCGUGAGGGAGUACUGCCCUAUGGGUUGUAAACCUCUUUUGUCGGGGAGCAAAAGCCGGACGUGUCCGGCUGUGAGAGUACCCGAAGAAAAAGCAUCGGCUAACUCCGUGCCAGCAGCCGCGGUAAUACGGAGGAUGCGAGCGUUAUCCGGAUUUAUUGGGUUUAAAGGGUGCGUAGGCUGUGAGGUAAGUCAGCGGUGAAAUGCCCCCGCUCAACGGGGUGAAGUGCCAUUGAUACUGCCUUGCUGGAAUGCGGAUGCCGUGGGAGGAAUGUGUGGUGUAGCGGUGAAAUGCAUAGAUAUCACACAGAACACCGAUUGCGAAGGCAUCUCACGAAUCCGCGAUUGACGCUGAUGCACGAAAGCGUGGGUAUCAAACAGGAUUAGAUACCCUAGUAGUC
Molecule: ribosomal RNA, 460 nt
Filed under: uncultured bacterium
Lineage: Bacteria
Description: partial 16S ribosomal RNA
Rfam family: Bacterial small subunit ribosomal RNA
Source: RNAcentral